GGUGAGGGAAGCUCAUCAGCAGGGCCACAUGCUGGGUGCUUAUCACUUGCUGACCCCUGGGAAGUUCUGAGACUGGGCCCUCCCCAAGAAAGCAGGGAGGUGAAUUCCCAGAGCAGGCAGACCCUGCAGGAGAGGCCCUGGGUGUGCUGGCAGAUGCCUCCCUCACAGGAACUUGGAACAGACUCAGAGCCAGGAUGGGCAGAGCUGGUAUUAGCCUACAGGAGAGGCUCCUGUGGCUCUCACAGAAGGCAGAAAUGCAUUCUCUCUACAGGCAGGCAGAGGUACAGAGAUAGGUGAGGUUGGGAGUUUACUGCCUGCACACUCUGAAUCUAAAUCCCCCUCC
This 343-nucleotide RNase P RNA is filed under the name Peromyscus maniculatus bairdii (prairie deer mouse). Its description in RNAcentral is "Nuclear RNase P (ENSPEMG00000026380.1)". It matches the Rfam family "Nuclear RNase P". Rfam says of the family: Ribonuclease P (RNase P) is a ubiquitous endoribonuclease, found in archaea, bacteria and eukarya as well as chloroplasts and mitochondria. Its best characterised activity is the generation of mature 5'-ends of tRNAs by cleaving the 5'-leader elements of precursor-tRNAs. The record is from Rfam by way of RNAcentral. Lineage: Eukaryota; Metazoa; Chordata; Mammalia; Rodentia; Cricetidae.